GGAUUGUGGCUCAGCGGUAGAGUGCUCACCUAGCAUUUGUGAGGCCCUGGGUUUGAUCCUCAGCACCA
RNAcentral lists this transfer RNA (68 nucleotides) under Marmota monax (woodchuck). RNAcentral describes it as "tRNA.Ala". Lineage: Eukaryota; Metazoa; Chordata; Mammalia; Rodentia; Sciuridae. The record is from RNAcentral.